This 383-nucleotide long non-coding RNA is filed under the name Gossypium raimondii (Peruvian cotton). RNAcentral describes it as "long non-coding RNA (GRAI_LNC003447)". Lineage: Eukaryota; Viridiplantae; Streptophyta; Magnoliopsida; Malvales; Malvaceae. The record is from RNAcentral.
GGAUUCGAUGAUUCCGAAUUUCUCUUUCACUUGCCUUUGCCCUUCCCUGAUAUUCUUUUGUUCCUCGCUUAUUUCUUUCAUCUCAGAUUUCAAUCUUUUGAAGCUUUCCUCUAUGGUCUUCUACUUGACCCUUCAUCAUCUCCACUUCACCACCCCACCCACUAUUCUUUAACUUCUCCGUAGUUGUACCAGCAGGCCCGGCCCUGGGUCGUCCAGAGAUGUUGCCGUCCAACGUCCAAAACUGAAAGGAGUUCAAAAUAUUGUUUUCUAAUUUUUAAAUUACUCAAAAAAUUUGUUUACCAACCUUUAAAGCAUCUAAAAAAAAAUUUCCCCCUUUAAUCAAAAAAAAAAAUUCCCCCAACUUUAAACAAACCUAAAACCCC